Molecule: ribosomal RNA, 464 nt
Filed under: uncultured bacterium
Lineage: Bacteria
Description: partial 16S ribosomal RNA
Rfam family: Bacterial small subunit ribosomal RNA
Source: RNAcentral
CCUACGGGAGGCAGCAGUAGGGAAUAUUCCACAAUGAGCGCAAGCUUGAUGCAGCGACACAGCGUGCACGAUGAAGGUCUUCGGAUUGUAAAGUGCUGUUAUAAGGGAAGAACAUUUGCACUAGGUAAUGAUUGCAGACUGUCGGUACCUUGUCAGCCAGCGAUGGCUAACUAUGUGCCAGCAGCCGCGGUAAUACAUUGGUCGCAAGCGUUAUCCGGAAUUAUUGGGCGAAAAGCGUUCGUAGGCUGUUUGUUAAGUCUGGGGUUAAAUCCCGGGGCUCAACCCCGGCGCGCGUUGGAUACUAGUAAACUAGAGUGAGAUAGAGGUAAGCGGAAUUCCAGGUGAAGCGGUGAAAUGCGUAGAUAUAAGGAAGAACACCAAAGGCGAAGGCAGCUUACUGGGUCUAUACUGACGCUGAGGGACGAAAGCGUGGGGAGCGAACAGGAUUAGAUACCCCGGUAGUC